This 466-nucleotide ribosomal RNA is filed under the name uncultured bacterium. Its description in RNAcentral is "partial 16S ribosomal RNA". It matches the Rfam family "Bacterial small subunit ribosomal RNA", at positions 28 to 507 of the family's 1533-position model. The record is from RNAcentral.
GAUGAACGCUGGCGGCGUGCUUAACACAUGCAAGUCGAACGAUGAAGCCCAGCUUGCUGGGUGGUUUAGUGGCGAACGGGUGAGUAACACGUGAGUAACCUGCCCUUAACUCUGGGAUAAGCCUGGUCAACUGGGUCUAAUACCGGAUAGGAGCGUCCACCGCAUGGAGGGUGUUGGAAAGAUUUAUCGGUUUUGGAUGGACUCGCGGCCUAUCAGCUUGUUGGUGAGGUAAUGGCUCACCAAGGCGACGACGGGUAGCCGGCCUGAGAGGGUGACCGGCCACAAGGGGACUGAGACACGGACCAGACGCCUACGGGAGGCAGCAGUGGGGAAUAUUGCACAAUGGGCGCAAGCCUGAUGCAGCGACGCCGCGUGCGGGAUGACGGCCUUCGGGUUGUAAACCUCUUUCAGUAGGGAAGAAGCGAAAGUGACGGUACCUGCAGAAGAAGCACCGGCUAACUACGUG